Molecule: long non-coding RNA, 875 nt
Organism: Humulus lupulus (European hop)
Lineage: Eukaryota; Viridiplantae; Streptophyta; Magnoliopsida; Rosales; Cannabaceae
Exons: 2
Source: RefSeq, a predicted model, not a curated record
UUUAACUAAUAUUAUAUUAUAUUAUAUAAGAUAUAAUAUGUAAAUACGACUAUAUAUCCCCCACUUCAAAUCGAUGGAUUAAGUCACUUAUUUGAUGUGAGCUGUUGGAUUCUAUUUUAAUCGUAAUGGAUAAUGGAUGAUUGGAGAUCAUUUAGUGCUUAAAAACUGGUAAAAUACCCAACUCACCCUAGAAGCUUGCAACCAGUUAGCUUUUUUAUUUCAGAUUUUUUCACUCAUAUGAAGCUUUUAAUACAAUUUUACGUCAAUGGUUUACUUUUCAUUUUUCUGCCUGUGCUUUCCUUCUUCCUUUGUAUGUGCAAUUGAUCGUCGAUCUCCCCACUCUGUCACCUGAAUCGAUUCUUCUCUCUUCUUGUCGAACCUUUGUGGGAUCGGUUCUCCUCCCCUGUCGACGGAACUCUGUCACACUUUUAAUCAUGAACAGAGUUUAUGUAUUAGUUCAUGCAACAAGACUUGGAGAAUGAAUUUGGAACUUGUGAAUUUGUGGAGGAUAUGAAGAAAUCGUUUUCUAACUAUGAAGACUUGUUAUCAGAAGAGUGUACAGAGCUUACAAUAAUUGUUCAUGGAUUUAUUUGCAUUUUGUACUAGCUCUGUAUUUGGAUGCAACUACUCUUCUCCAAAUUAUAUGUAUUCCUAACUGGACAUAUAAAAAAGUUGAGACGGUUCCAGUUCCAUUUCUAGAUUCUUGGUACUUAAUUAGCUUUUGGUACUAUCGAACAAAAUAAUGAAAAGUAUUGUGUAAUUAAAAUCUCUGUAUGAAUUAAUAAAGAUUUGGUCUUUUACACUUUCCAUUAAAGUGGAUGUACCCUUGGACUGUGAAGAACAUCAUCCAAAAUUUAUUCUUGUAAAUAUAAUCA